RNAcentral lists this long non-coding RNA (594 nucleotides) under Ananas comosus (pineapple). RNAcentral's name for it is "long non-coding RNA (ACOM_LNC005686)". Lineage: Eukaryota; Viridiplantae; Streptophyta; Magnoliopsida; Poales; Bromeliaceae. The record is from RNAcentral.
AAAUUUUAUUGUCGCAUUCAUUUUCAUUUUUUUCACGAUGCAUAUUUUCCAGAAGUUCAUAAAGUUUUUCACUAAUUGGCGAAUAAUUCGGCAAUAAUUCGGGAAUAAGUCGGAAAGGGAUUUUAUCAAAAAAUUUUGCACGUUUUUUUAGACGAAUAAUUCGGUAUACGCGAAUUAUUCGCGAAUAAUAAAUCUAACCCAAAAAUUCAUGUUUUAUUCCCAUUUUUUAAGAAUAAAUCGCAUACAGAGUGUUUUUAAUUUCAAUUUUCAAUAAUUCGCGAAUAAUUCGUGAAUUAACAAGCUAGCUACAAUUUAUAUCUAUACCUAUAUAUUAUUUUAUAUAGAAUUCACCACAUGGCACCCGAUGGUUCAUCUUUCCACCCUCCCAUUUUUGAAUAAAUAUAUUGACAUGAUCAAUUAUCAUCUAAACAAAUCGCUUUUACAAGAAAAAAAAAAGUAAAAUAAAAUUUCUUCAUACUUUUUUUUCUCAUGUACUGUAUGUAUUUAUUGAUGUCUCAUGGCAAAUUAAAAAAAUUUUAAUUUUUUUCAUUUGUCAAUCUUCUGUCUUUUAAUUGUAUUAACCCGCCGAAAUAC